AUUGAACGCUGGCGGCAGGCCUAACACAUGCAAGUCGAACGGUAACAGGAAGCAGCUUGCUGCUUCGCUGACGAGUGGCGGACGGGUGAGUAAUGUCUGGGAAGCUGCCUGAUGGAGGGGGAUAACUACUGGAAACGGUAGCUAAUACCGCAUACUGUCGCAAGACCAAAGAGGGGGACCUUCGGGCCUCUUGCCAUCGGAUGUGCCCAGAUGGGAUUAGCUUGUUGGUGGGGUAACGGCUCACCAAGGCGACGAUCCCUAGCUGGUCUGAGAGGAUGACCAGCCGCACUGGAACUGAGACACGGUCCAGACUCCUACGGGAGGCAGCAGUGGGGAAUAUUGCACAAUGGGCGCAAGCCUGAUGCAGCCAUGCCGCGUGUAUGAAGAAGGCCUUCGGGUUGUAAAGUACUUUCAGCGGGGAGGAAGGGAGUAAAGUUAAUACCUUGGCUCAUUGACGUUACCCGCAGAAGAAGCACCGGCUAACUCCGUG
RNAcentral lists this ribosomal RNA (490 nucleotides) under uncultured bacterium. RNAcentral's name for it is "partial 16S ribosomal RNA". It matches the Rfam family "Bacterial small subunit ribosomal RNA", at positions 30 to 507 of the family's 1533-position model. The record is from RNAcentral.